AAUUGCUGACGACAUUUUGAAUCAAAUAAAUGUUGAAAGUUGUAUUGGUCAUAAUCCUGGUAUAACUGCUAUGUGGAAAGAUGAAAGACAACGAAGACGAGAUAUUGGACUAUCUUCACAAGUUGCUCUUCCUGUUUCACAAGGUAGUGAUGAUGAACAUGAUGAAGAUAUUGAUGAAGAUAAAGAAUCAAUAUUAAUAUCACAGCCAUUUUGGAAAGAUGA
Long non-coding RNA from Xenia sp. Carnegie-2017, 222 nucleotides. RefSeq lists it as uncharacterized. The transcript has 3 exons. The record is from RefSeq and is a predicted model, not a curated record. Lineage: Eukaryota; Metazoa; Cnidaria; Anthozoa; Malacalcyonacea; Xeniidae.